ACAUGAUUAUUUUUAAUCUUUCCACAGGACAGAACAGGCAGAGAAAUCUAAAAACCAUCGAGAAAGUAAGAGUGGAAAAAAGGACACAAACCAUGGUGCAGUCCCAGAGAAGAAACGGGUGAUUAAAUGGCCUGUUAAUGUGACUGAGAGGGGGAAGAGGAGAGGAGAGAAGAGCAUCCACAAUACAGAUGACUUUAUGAAGACUGACAAUGAUUUAAAACAGCAAGACGGGACUCAGUCUGACACAGAGUCUGACGAUUAUGAUGACAUCGGGGCACUAGUUGACAGUAGGCUUGAGGCACAAAAUUUCGAGGACGAUGAUAUUUACGAUGAUGUGGCUCAUCCAGACACAAGAUUUUCAACUCUGACAGAAAUGGCCGCAGAUGAUUGUAUCUAUGAAGUCAACUGAUCUACAAUAUUGACUGUGACAAUGUGAUGAGCACGGACCAGAUUACUGGAUCAUUUCAACAUAAUACAGUAUACAGAGUUUGUAUAUUAUUGAUUAAUUACUUGUAUUUAUCAUUUACUGUUUAAACUAUUGUGCAUUUUCUUGAUCAUCAACCUGAUUAAUACAUAUCUAUUGAUACAUGUUUUAUUAUAUGAUUUAUGAUUAAUACAUGAUUGUGGUGAAUAUGUUGUAACUUAACUCAAACUAUGUGUGACAGUGCUGAGCUUUUGAACAGUCAUUGUAGUUGUUACAUGCUGUAACAAAUGGAUGUUGGCUG
Molecule: long non-coding RNA, 725 nt
Organism: Thunnus maccoyii (southern bluefin tuna)
Lineage: Eukaryota; Metazoa; Chordata; Actinopteri; Scombriformes; Scombridae
Exons: 7
Source: RefSeq, a predicted model, not a curated record